GAGCGGGCCUGGCGGAGCCCGAGCGCGGCCCGGCCCGCAGCGCGGGGCUCGGAGCGCGGUGAAGAGAUUGUUUUCUGAAGGCUGCGUUGGAGGCUGUGACAGAGCACAGAGCCCUGUGGAGCUGAUGGGGAGGCUUUCUCAAUAACAUGGCCCUUCGCCAUUAGCCUUGCCAUGACCACAUUUUUCACCAGCGUCCCCCCCUGGAUUCAAGAUGCAAAGCAGGAGGAGGAAGUGGGCUGGAAACUAGUGCCCAGGCCUCGGGGCCGGGAGGCGGAGAGUCAAGUGAAGUGCCAAUGUGAAAUCUCGGGGACACCCUUCUCAAAUGGGGAGAAGCUGAGGCCUCACAGCCUCCCCCAUCCAGAGCAGAGACCGUAUAGCUGCCCUCAGCUGCACUGUGGCAAGGCUUUUGCCUCCAAGUACAAGCUGUAUAGGCACAUGGCCACCCACUCAGCCCAGAAACCCCACCAGUGCAUGUACUGCGAUAAGAUGUUUCACCGCAAGGAUCAUCUGCGGAACCACCUGCAGACCCAUGACCCCAACAAGGAGGCCCUCCACUGUUCUGAGUGUGGUAAGAAUUACAAUACGAAGCUGGGCUACCGGCGCCACCUGGCCAUGCAUGCUGCCAGCAGUGGUGACCUCAGCUGCAAGGUGUGCCUGCAGACCUUCGAGAGUACCCAGGCCCUGCUGGAGCACCUGAAGGCCCACUCACGCCGGGUAGCAGGUGGUGCCAAGGAAAAGAAGCACCCCUGUGACCACUGUGACCGGCGGUUCUAUACUCGUAAGGAUGUGCGGCGGCACCUGGUGGUCCACACAGGCCGGAAGGACUUCCUGUGCCAGUACUGUGCCCAGCGAUUCGGCCGCAAAGACCACCUGACACGUCAUGUCAAGAAGAGCCACUCACAAGAGCUGCUCAAGAUCAAGACAGAGCCAGUGGAUGUGUUAGGCCUAAUCAGCUGCAGCUCCACAGUCAAUGUGAAGGAAGAGCUGAGUCCUGUGCUGUGCAUGGCCUCUCGGGACGUGAUGGGGGCCAAGGCCUUCCCUGGCAUGUUGCCCAUGGGCAUGUAUGGUGCCCACAUCCCUACCAUGCCCAGUGCGGGCAUGCCACACUCCCUGGUGCACAACACGCUGCCCAUGGGCAUGAGCUACCCUCUGGAAUCCUCACCUAUCUCUUCCCCAGCUCAGCUUCCUCCAAAAUACCAGCUUGGAUCUACCUCAUACUUGCCCGACAAAUUGCCCAAAGUGGAGGUGGAUAGUUUUCUGGGGGAGGUUCCUGGAAGCCUGUCUCUCUCAUCCGCUGAACCCCAGCCCACCUCACCUCAGCCGGCAGCAGCUGCGGCCCUCCUAGAUGAAGCACUGCUCACCAAGAGCCCCGCCAACCUCUCUGAGGCUCUCUGCGCUGCUAAUGUGGACUUCUCCCACUUACUGGGCUUUCUUCCUCUCAACCUGCCCCCAUGUAACCCACCUGGGGCCACAGGAGGCCUGGUCAUGGGCUACUCCCAGGCUGAGGCUCAGCCCCUGCUCACCACUUUGCAAGCUCAGCCUCAAGAUUCCCCAGGAGCUGGGGGACCGCUGAACUUUGGGCCACUGCACUCUUUGCCACCUGUCUUCACCUCUGGCCUGAGCACCACAACCCUGCCUCGUUUCCACCAGGCAUUCCAGUAGCCACAAGGAGGCCCUCAGCUCAGUCCUGGCUCUGUCAGGGAGCCUCAGUACCUAUCCCAUCUGCAUCCCCCAUGAAGGCAGCUGAGCUUUCAGAGCUGGGUUCAAAAAAACAAUUCCAGUAUCUGUAUGGAGCACUUGGUUUGGGGGCUUAAGCUCCAGGAUUAGUUCCAGGAGGAAUCUUGAGCCCCAGCCCCAUGAAAAGAUAUCAUACAAUAGGACUUCAGGUAUUUUUACUUUUUUUUUUUUUUUAAUCUGAAUCGGGAGCCACACCUAGCCUUCUCCCUCUCCAAAGCAUCGGAACCUCCUCCUCUUUGAAGAAGGGAGAGGUCUCUUGAAGACACAGAGGGUUUUACUUCGGAUGACCUCGAGAGAAGUAGUCCAAGAAGCCCGUCUUCUGGUCCCAGCCUGCAGACCCCACAGCAGUUGGUCAGGCACUCCUGCAGAGGGUCCAUCGCCUGCUUCCAAUCAAUAGGCAGGAGGGAAGGCCUCUGCCUGUUGUUCCCCAUUACCUCCAUCCCUCCUGUCCUAACACCUCCAUUUUCAGUCAGUGUUUUCCAGGAACGGUACCGUUUACACAGUCGCUUCAGACACACCAUUUCACCUCCCUUGCUGAGCUGUUAGCCUUAGAAUGAUUGCAGUGAACAUUGUUUACACACCGUGAAUCCAUUCCCACCAGUCCAUUCCAGUUGGCACCAGCCAGAACCACUUGGUACCUGGUGUUAACUGGAGCCCUGUUUACAAGGCGGAGUCGGGUCCCGACUUCUCUUCAUUUGAGGUCACAUUUUUCCCCUGUGGGGAAAUAAACUGACUUUGGACUGCUUCAGUCUCUGCCACCUUCCAUGACUGUGUCUGUUCUUGCCUUCCUUGGGAGAGUCCACAGGAGACAGGCAAGAAGAUUGGAGCAGCUUUCUCACAGGCAGGUGUUGGCCAGAAAAGUCCAGAUUCCUCUGGGACCCCACCCUGGCCUCUCCUGGAGCUCUGAACCUGCUGUGGAAGGAACUGGCUGUGACCUCACCACUGGAAAGCAGGGUCUGUGGCAAGGGAAACGGGUGUACUGGUUCUGACAGGAGGAGGAUCCACCAUGGUAAUCAAGUGCCUCUGUGGAGGGGUUUAAUUUCUUCAGAUGUUCGCCUACUUCCUUAGUGGGUUCUCCCCAUAUUGCACCUCUCCAACUCUCACCAUUUGGCACUGGAACUCCUGAAACACCACUUCUCAUACACCCCCCUCCCUCUCUCCCAGUGGUCAAGGCUUUGGAGCCACUCUUUCGUAAUACCAGAUUAUUUAAAGAGAGAAAAAUACAAGACAAAACCUUUUAGCACUUUGUAAACACAGUGAAUAACCUCUUGGAGUAUUUUUGGCUUUAUAUAAAACAAGGUUUUUAAUUGUAAAAUAUAAGUGCCAUUAGAAAAUGCA
Molecule: RNA transcript, 3075 nt
Organism: Budorcas taxicolor (takin)
Lineage: Eukaryota; Metazoa; Chordata; Mammalia; Artiodactyla; Bovidae
Gene: PLAGL2
Gene name: PLAG1 like zinc finger 2
Exons: 4
Source: RefSeq, a predicted model, not a curated record